This 645-nucleotide ribosomal RNA is filed under the name fungal sp. ARIZ B104. RNAcentral describes it as "eukaryotic LSU rRNA". The stretch from base 258 to 411 matches the Rfam family "5.8S ribosomal RNA". Lineage: Eukaryota; Fungi. The record is from RNAcentral. RNAcentral also lists the same sequence under 3 other names.
UGGAAGUAAAAGUCGUAACAAGGUCUCCGUUGGUGAACCAGCGGAGGGAUCAUUACCGAGUUUACAACUCCCAAACCCAAUGUGAACGUUACCAAACUGUUGCCUCGGCGGGAUCUCUGCCCCGGGUGCGUCGCAGCCCCGGACCAAGGCGCCCGCCGGAGGACCAACCUAAAACUCUUAUUGUAUACCCCCUCGCGGGUUUUUUUAUAAUCUGAGCCUUCUCGGCGCCUCUCGUAGGCGUUUCGAAAAUGAAUCAAAACUUUCAACAACGGAUCUCUUGGUUCUGGCAUCGAUGAAGAACGCAGCGAAAUGCGAUAAGUAAUGUGAAUUGCAGAAUUCAGUGAAUCAUCGAAUCUUUGAACGCACAUUGCGCCCGCCAGUAUUCUGGCGGGCAUGCCUGUCCGAGCGUCAUUUCAACCCUCGAACCCCUCCGGGGGGUCGGCGUUGGGGAUCGGCCCUCCCUUAGCGGGUGGCCGUCUCCGAAAUACAGUGGCGGUCUCGCCGCAGCCUCUCCUGCGCAGUAGUUUGCACACUCGCAUCGGGAGCGCGGCGCGUCCACAGCCGUUAAACACCCAACUUCUGAAAUGUUGACCUCGGAUCAGGUAGGAAUACCCGCUGAACUUAAGCAUAUCAAUAAGCGGAGGA